GUUCAGAACGUCGUGAGACAGUUCGGUCCCUAUCUGGUGUGGGCGUUAGAAUAUUGAGGAAAGCUGCUCCUAGUACGAGAGGACCGGAGUGGACGAACCUCUGGUGUACCGGUUGUCACGCCAGUGGCAUAGCCGGGUAGCUAAGUUCGGAAAGGAUAACCGCUGAAAGCAUCUAAGCGGGAAGCCUCAUCCAAGAUGAGUAUUCUCUGGGAACUAGAUUCCCCUAAAGGGCCGUUGAAGACUACGACGUUGAUAGGCACCAUGUGGAAGUCCAGUAAUGGAUGUAGCUAAGGUGUACUAAUUGCCCGUGAGGCUUGAUUCUAUAACCUUGAAUGGUUU
Molecule: ribosomal RNA, 339 nt
Filed under: Leucothrix arctica
Lineage: Bacteria; Pseudomonadati; Pseudomonadota; Gammaproteobacteria; Thiotrichales; Thiotrichaceae
Description: bacterial LSU rRNA
Rfam family: Bacterial large subunit ribosomal RNA
Source: RNAcentral